GGCUCGGUGGUGGAAGGUCCACAUCUGUAUGACUUGAGAGAAUCCAGGAAGGUUACCCAGAAGACGCUCGUUCGAGUCGAGCCUGAGCCC
Molecule: non-coding RNA, 90 nt
Organism: Mycena alexandri
Lineage: Eukaryota; Fungi; Basidiomycota; Agaricomycetes; Agaricales; Mycenaceae
Source: the annotation of a GenBank genome assembly